RNAcentral lists this ribosomal RNA (467 nucleotides) under uncultured bacterium. RNAcentral describes it as "partial 16S ribosomal RNA". It matches the Rfam family "Bacterial small subunit ribosomal RNA", at positions 28 to 507 of the family's 1533-position model. The record is from RNAcentral.
GAUGAACGCUGGCGGCGCGCCUAACACAUGCAAGUCGAACGAUUAAAGCACCUUCGGGUGUGUAUAAAGUGGCGAACGGCUGAGUAACACGUGGGCAACCUGCCCCUUUCAUUGGGAUAGCCACGGGAAACCGUGGAUAAUACCGAAUACUUCGAGACUUCCGCAUGGAAGACUCGAGAAAGCUCCGGCGGAGAGGGAUGGGCCCGCGGCCUGUUAGCUUGUUGGUGGGGUAACGGCCUACCAAGGCAAUGAUGGGUAGCUGGGUUGAGAGACCGACCAGCCAGAUUGGGACUGAGACACGGCCCAGACUCCUACGGGAGGCAGCAGUGGGGAUUCUUGCACAAUGGGCGAAAGCCUGAUGCAGCGACGCCGCGUGCGGGAUGAAGGCCUUCGGGUUGUAAACCGCUUUCAGCAGGGACGAGGCGAAAGUGACGUUACCUGCAGAAGAAGCCCCGGCUAACUACGUG